UAGGGAAUCUUCCGCAAUGGACGCAAGUCUGACGGAGCAACGCCGCGUGAGUGAAGAAGGAUUUCGGUUCGUAAAACUCUGUUGUUAGAGAAGAACAGCGCAUAGAGUAACUGUUAUGCGUGUGACGGUAUCUAACCAGAAAGCCACGGCUAACUACGUGCCAGCAGCCGCGGUAAUACGUAGGUGGCAAGCGUUGUCCGGAUUUAUUGGGCGUAAAGCGAGCGCAGGCGGUCAAUUAAGUCUGAUGUGAAAGCCCCCGGCUCAACCGGGGAGGGUCAUUGGAAACUGGGUGACUUGAGUGCAGAAGAGGAGAGUGGAAUUCCAUGUGUAGCGGUGAAAUGCGUAGAUAUAUGGAGGAACACCAGUGGCGAAGGCGACUCUCUGGUCUGUAACUGACGCUGAGGCUCGAAAGCGUGGGUAGCAAACAGG
This 429-nucleotide ribosomal RNA is filed under the name Bacteroidota bacterium. Its description in RNAcentral is "Bacteroidetes bacterium partial 16S ribosomal RNA". It matches the Rfam family "Bacterial small subunit ribosomal RNA", at positions 355 to 776 of the family's 1533-position model. Lineage: Bacteria; Pseudomonadati; Bacteroidota. The record is from RNAcentral.